This 429-nucleotide ribosomal RNA is filed under the name Fusobacteriota bacterium. RNAcentral's name for it is "Fusobacteria bacterium partial 16S ribosomal RNA". It matches the Rfam family "Bacterial small subunit ribosomal RNA", at positions 355 to 776 of the family's 1533-position model. The record is from RNAcentral. Lineage: Bacteria; Fusobacteriati; Fusobacteriota.
UGGGGAAUCUUCCGCAAUGGACGAAAGUCUGACGGAGCAACGCCGCGUGAGUGAAGACGGCCUUCGGGUUGUAAAGCUCUGUGAUCCGGGACGAAAGAGCCUGAGGUGAAUAGCCUAAGGCAGCGACGGUACCGGAAAAGCAAGCCACGGCUAACUACGUGCCAGCAGCCGCGGUAAUACGUAGGUGGCAAGAGUUGUCCGGAAUUAUUGGGCGUAAAGCGCGCGCAGGCGGCAUCCUAAGUCCAUCUUAAAAGUGCGGGGCUUAACCCCGUGAUGGGAUGGAAACUGGGAAGCUGGAGUAUCGGAGAGGAAGGUGGAAUUCCUAGUGUAGCGGUGAAAUGCGUAGAGAUUAGGAAGAACACCGGUGGCGAAGGCGACUUUCUGGGCGAAAACUGACGCUGAGGGGCGAAAGCGUGGGGAGCAAACAGG